RNAcentral lists this ribosomal RNA (1850 nucleotides) under Myxobolus hilarii. RNAcentral's name for it is "SSU rRNA". It matches the Rfam family "Eukaryotic small subunit ribosomal RNA". The record is from RNAcentral. Lineage: Eukaryota; Metazoa; Cnidaria; Myxozoa; Bivalvulida; Myxobolidae.
AUGUGUCAGUUCAUUCAUUAAUACAAUGUGAGACUGCGGAAGGCUCAGUAAAUCAGUUAUUAUCUAUUCGAAAGUACACCCAUUGGAUAACCGUGGGAAAUCUAGAGCUAAUACAUGUGUUAAAGGCGUGAUGGCAACAUUGCGUCUGCAUUUAUUUGCAAAAACCAAACGCUCUGUGGUUAUGAAAAUAGUCAUGGAGUAGGGUGAGUCUAGAUAACUGAGCAAAUCGCAUGGCCUUGAGCCGGCGAUGUUUCGAUUGAAUUUCUGCCCUAUCAACUUGUUGGUAAGGUAGUGGCUUACCAAGGUUGCAACGGGUAACGGGGGAUCAGGGUUUGAUUCCGGAGAGGGAGCCUGAGAAACGGCUACCACAUCCAAGGAAGGCAGCAGGCGCGCAAAUUACCCAAUCCAGACAAUGGGAGGUGGUGACCAGAAGUACUCGGUAGUGGACAAAUGUUCGCUGACCUGAGAAUGAGCAUAAAGUAAAAAGUUAGUCGAGUAACAACUGGAGGGCAAGUCUGGUGCCAGCAGCCGCGGUAAUUCCAGCUCCAGUAGCAUGUCGUAAAGUUGUUGCGUUUAAAACGCUCGUAGUUGGAUCAUACAGUGACGAAAAGCUGAUGUGCGUUUGUAGACUAAUUAAGCGGAGAUGUUGUUUGGUCAGGUAAACUGACUAGAUGGAUCUACUGUGGUUUACAGCGUAUGUUGUUUGCUGGUCGUUGCUACUUGCACGCUAGAAUAACGAAUGGCCUUUAGUGAGCUGAGCGUUGUGUCUGGCGGAGUGUGCCUUGAAUAAAUCAAAGUGCUCAAAGCAGGCUGUUGCCUGAAUGUUACAGCAUGGAACGAACAAACGUGAAGAGUGCGUUGCUGGUUUUGAUUGAAACUAGUGAUGCAUUUCACCAACCACCAUGACGGAUGUUGGUUUCCGUAAUGGGGUGAUGAUUAAAACGAGCGGUUGGGGGCAUUGGUAUUUGGCCGCGAGAGGUGAAAUUCUUAGACCGGCCAAGGACUAACAAAAGCGAAGGCAUUUGUCAAGACCGUCUCGAUUGAUCAAGAACGAUAGUGGAAGGUUCGAAGAUGAUCAGAUACCAUUGUAGUUUCCACCAUAAACUAUGCCGACCCGGGAUCAGUUUAGAGCUAAAAUCAACGCUCCAGGUUGGUCCCCCUGGGAAACCUCAAGUUUUUGGGUUACGGGGGGAGUAUGGUCGCAAGGCUGAAACUUAAAGGAAUUGACGGAAGGGCACCACCAGGGGUGGAGCCUGCGGCUUAAUUUGACUCAACACGGGAAAACUCACCGGUUCCGGACGUUAAAAGGAUAGACAGACUGAUAGAUCUUUCUUGAUAUGAUGUGUGGUGGUGCAUGGCCGUUCUUAGUUCGUGGAGUGAUCUGUCAGACUAAUUUCGGUAACGAACGAGAUCAGAGUCUCUAUUUACAAAGCAGAAUGAAGCGUCUAGUACGCUUCCUACUAUUGUCAGUAGUUGUAGGUUCACUUACAAUCACUGACAAUUUAUCACUUUUGCUAUGUUGCAUGCAGUAAAAUGUGUGUGACUGCAUAGAGAGACAACUGACUAUAAUUAUAAAAUCAGAGGAAGUCUGGCAAUAACAGGUCUGUGAUGCCCUUAGACGUACCGGGCUGCACGCGCGCUACAAUGAUAACGGCAGCGAGCUAAUCUGGGCCGAAAGGCUUGGGAAAUCUUGAAUCGUUAUCGUGAUGGGGAUUGUUCAUUGUAAGUUGGACAUGAAAUAGGAAUCCCUUGUACGUGCGCUUCAUCUAGAGCGCGCGGAAUGAGUCCCUGCCCUUUGUACACACCGCCCGUCGCUACUACCGAGUGAAUGGCGUCAUGAUGCGUUGGGA